Molecule: long non-coding RNA, 583 nt
Organism: Canis lupus familiaris (dog)
Lineage: Eukaryota; Metazoa; Chordata; Mammalia; Carnivora; Canidae
Exons: 3
Source: RefSeq, a predicted model, not a curated record
CGUAUACCAACCGGUCGCGGUUCAGGAUCCGGGGGUUAGAAGGUUACACAUCACCUGCGCUUUCAGUACACUGGAUCACUGAUCACAGGUCACCAGGACACAUGUAAUAAAGAAGAAGUUUGAGCUGCUGCAGGAGUGACAUGUGACACCGAGACAGGAGAUCUCAUCCUGAUACCACACUUGUGCCGAAUCUACGUGUCAGUGUGUCGACGAUCCGAGCUGUGGCUAGGUGAUUGGAUUUACGGAGUCUAACAAGUCAAAAACAAUUUUGACUACUGAAGAGACCACCUCAUGGUUGCUCUGUGUGCAAGUAAGAGGUAUGAAAAGUAAUCAGCACGGGGAGGGGGGGGGACCAGGAAAGGUCUAUACUGUGUGUGUACUGACUGUUAUUGUCCCUUUUGUAUGUCAGUAUCCUUUAAAGACUUUCCUUCUCAAGGUUGUGAUUUAUUUGGCCUGUUCACUUCAGCUGGAUACCGCUAAUGUUUUCUAUUGGAUGAUCCGUGUGUUAACUUUUUUUUUUUUUUUAAAGAAGGUUUUCUUAGUUAUUUGACAGAGUGAGAGUGAGAGCCCACGCACAAGCAGG